This 440-nucleotide ribosomal RNA is filed under the name uncultured bacterium. RNAcentral's name for it is "partial 16S ribosomal RNA". It matches the Rfam family "Bacterial small subunit ribosomal RNA", at positions 338 to 795 of the family's 1533-position model. The record is from RNAcentral.
CCUACGGGUGGCAGCAGUGGGGAAUAUUGCACAAUGGGGGAAACCCUGAUGCAGCGACGCCGCGUGAGUGAAGAAGUAAUUCGUUAUGUAAAGCUCUAUCAGCAGGGAAGAAAAUGACGGUACCGGAGUAAGAAGCCCAGGCUAACUACGUGACAGCAGCCGCGGUAAUAAGUAGGGGGCAAGCGUUAUCCGGAUUUACUGGGUGUAAAGGGAGCGUAGACGGCAGUGCAAGUCCGGAGUGAAAGGCGGGGGCUCAACCCCCGGACUGCUCUUGAAACUGUACGGCUGGAGUGCAGGAGAGGUAAGUGGAAUUCCUAGUGUAGCGGUGAAAUGCGUAGAUAUUAGGAGGAACACCAGUGGCGAAGGCGGCUUACUGGACUGUAACUGACGUUGAGGCUCGAAAGCGUGGGGAGCAAACAGGAUUAGAUACCCCUGUAGUC